RNAcentral lists this ribosomal RNA (601 nucleotides) under Aspergillus flavus. Its description in RNAcentral is "eukaryotic LSU rRNA". It matches the Rfam family "Eukaryotic large subunit ribosomal RNA", at positions 1 to 605 of the family's 3401-position model. The record is from RNAcentral. Lineage: Eukaryota; Fungi; Ascomycota; Eurotiomycetes; Eurotiales; Aspergillaceae.
UUGACCUCGGAUCAGGUAGGGAUACCCGCUGAACUUAAGCAUAUCAAUAAGCGGAGGAAAAGAAACCAACCGGGAUUGCCUCAGUAACGGCGAGUGAAGCGGCAAGAGCUCAAAUUUGAAAGCUGGCUCCUUCGGGGUCCGCAUUGUAAUUUGCAGAGGAUGCUUCGGGUGCGGCCCCUGUCUAAGUGCCCUGGAACGGGCCGUCAGAGAGGGUGAGAAUCCCGUCUGGGAUGGGGUGUCCGCGCCCGUGUGAAGCUCCUUCGACGAGUCGAGUUGUUUGGGAAUGCAGCUCUAAAUGGGUGGUAAAUUUCAUCUAAAGCUAAAUACUGGCCGGAGACCGAUAGCGCACAAGUAGAGUGAUCGAAAGAUGAAAAGCACUUUGAAAAGAGAGUUAAAAAGCACGUGAAAUUGUUGAAAGGGAAGCGCUUGCGACCAGACUCGCCUCCAGGGUUCAGCCGGCAUUCGUGCCGGUGUACUUCCCUGGGGGCGGGCCAGCGUCGGUUUGGGCGGCCGGUCAAAGGCUCCCGGAAUGUAGUGCCCUCCGGGGCACCUUAUAGCCGGGAAGUGCAAUGCGGCCAGCCUGGACCGAGAAACGCGCUUC